GUGCUCACUUUGUCAGCACAUAUGCUAAAAUUGGAACAAUACAGAGAAGAUUAGCAUUGUCCCUGCGCAAGGAUGACAUGCAACUUCAUGAAGCAUUCCAUUUUUUU
Small nuclear RNA from Jaculus jaculus (lesser Egyptian jerboa), 107 nucleotides. The record is from RefSeq and is a predicted model, not a curated record. NCBI's taxonomy places the organism in Eukaryota, Metazoa, Chordata, Mammalia, Rodentia, Dipodidae.